UGUCUGUUUGAUCAAGAUGCCGCUGUACGGAGGAGCCUGGUUAAUCUGUACUCUGAAUACUCUGCAGUUUUGGUCGUCCUAUUAUGGGAAACAUUGACAUCGAGGGAGUGACACAAUUUCACCUAACUUGUACCUAGGAUGGCACCACUGUCCUCUGGAUCGAUCGGGCAGACUGGACCUGUGUCGAAUAGAGUUUGAGGUGGCCUCAUUGAAGCCUACAAGACAGUUAAAGGGAUAGUCAUGCAGGGUAGAUGUAGGUAAGAGGUUUCCCUAGUUGGAGAGCUCAGUUUCAGGAAGUACAUCAUCCCUAAAGUUUUGAAGAAUCAACACUUUUUUUGGCUUCUGUUUUGUGAUAGACUGACACUAAAUGAAAUAUCACCAACAGAAUGAGUUAGAAUUAGAAUCCCGAAAGUGUGGAAACUGGCCCUUUUUGGCCCAACAAGUCCACACUGACCCCCUGAAGAAUAUCCCACCCAGACCUAUUCCCCUACAUUUACCCCUGACUCAUGCACCUAACUUAUACAUCCCUGAACAUUGGGCAAUUUAGCAUGUCCAGUUCAUCUAAUCUGCACAUCUUUGGAUUGGGUGAGGAAAUUGGAGCACCUGGAGGAGACCCAAGCAGACUCCAUGAGAAUGGUUCAAUUCCAGCCUCUGGUAAUUUUGUGGAAUUUGCAGUCCCUGGUGCUGAGGCAGCAAUACUAACCACUGUGCUGUCCCAAGAAAAGCAACAACAAACAGACCCUGCAUGUGCAAACCCCAAUGUCACACUUGGUCAGUGUGGGGAUUGAACUCUCUACCUUGGUGGUGUUAGUGCCAUGCUUUAACCAUCUGAGCUAACUGACAUUCAGUGCUAGGGCUCACUGAUGUUUACAGAUGUCUUGUUGGGCAAGGGUCCCUUGAAUGAAAUCUUGAGAUUACACCUAGUGAGCACAAGGAUACAACUGGGUAGAUGAAUGGUGUGGUUUGGGUAGGUGCAGGAGAAAUAAUUUUAGAUGAUUAGGUUACAGGAUCUCUUCUAAGAUGGUCUGCACCUUAACUAGAAUUGGAAAACAUGUCCCUGCUAAACUAUUUUACCUCCUACAGCACUAAUGCAGUGGGACCGGAGACAGCAUUAAUUCAGUCGUACAACUGUAUAUCUUAACCAUGGCACAGAAUUCAACCAUGUUUCUCAAGGGGGUAAGGCAAGGAUGGAUGGCCUCUACUGUUGGAAGGAAAGCAGAUGAGUAGGACAUAUUUGGGAUAGCAAUAUGGAAUUGUAAUGUGGUUGUAGGAGGGACAAGGCUGGCAACUCAACAUUGUGGUAUAGGAUACUCAGGAGAGGGAAGGUGCAAAAGUGGAGAUGUCUCCUUUUUCAGUUAGGAAGUCAGUUAUGCAGCAAAGAUGAUAUCGUUGAAGAGUCAAUGUUUGUGGGUAGAGUUUCAGGAUCGAGUGCAGUCAGUGAAGGCUUCCAAGCAGUCAACAGGCAAUUGAGGAGCAGAUAUCAGUGAAUUGACUGCAUAUGUAAUAACAAUUGGUAACUAUAUUAAGAGAUGAGUGACAAGGAAAUAAGGGUCCCUGAGCAAAUUCAGUUGUUGGUAGCUGUAUGUCAUCUGGUAGCUCCCCUGCAGCCAAUGUGGUUUUGCUUUGCAAGCAUGGUGAUAGAAAGGGACAAGGUGCUAUAGAGCCUUUCCUAUAGUAGGGAAACUAUUGGAGAAAAUACAAGCUAAUUAAUCUCAAUUCUGUGGGGGGAGGUGUUGGCAGAGGGAAAGGAAGGAGAAAGGACUGGAGAUCAGAGUUGCGAGUAUGGUGCUGGAAAGGCAUUGCAAGUCAGGCAGCAUCAGGAGCAGGUGAAUCGACAUUUCAGGUAUAAGCCUUUCAUCAGGAAUGAGGAAGUGUUGAUGCAGAAAUCAGACAGUCAAAUUGUUGGAGAUACUUCAGUGGUCAAAACAUCUGUGGAGAGAAAGUAACAUUUUGGGUGCAGUGACUUUUUAUCAGAACUGAUUGGUAGGAAAGGGUGUGGUAUGUGAUGAAUGGAGCCCAGAGAGAAGCAGUUGGGUGAAAAAGAGAUGGGUGAAGGUCAGCUUGGGAGAAUGAAUACCUGCUAAAGGGAUCAUUAGCUGAUAAAUCCAUCAAUAAUUGUCAUAGCAAAACAAAAAUCAUAGCAAGGUAUUAUUUGCAGCAUUAGGCUGAAACAUGAUUGCUUGAAACUACACAUAGGUAACCAAUUGUCUUUUCUUUCCAGCAAUAAUUUGGGUGGCUCAGUGGUUAGCACUGCUGCUUCACAACACCAAGGACCCAGGUUCAAUGCCAGACUCUGGCAACUGUCUGCAUGCGUUUCCUCAGGGUGCUCUGGUUUGCUCCACAAUCCAAAGAUGUGCAGGUCAGGUAAAUUGGACAAGCUAAAUUGCCCAUACUGUUCGGUGCAUUAGUCAAGGGGGGUGGGUUGUUCUUUGGAGUGUCGGUGUGGACUUGGCCCGAAGGGCCUGUUUCCACACUGGAGGGAAUCUAAUUAAUAUGAUGGUAGGGUCUGGGAUAUGGGUGUUAGGGUAAGGAGAUGGGAAAACAUGCUCAGGCCCUAAAAUUGUUGAACUGAGUCCAGAAGGCUGAGAUUUUGUUGUUCUAGCUUGCAUUGAGCUGCAUUGUAGCAAUCUGGAGAGAAAUGUUAGCCAGGCAACUGGAAGCUGUCACUUUUGUUGACAAUGUACAGAUGUUUGCAGAUUGGAUACCUGCAAUGACCGAGACCACAUUGUGAACAGCAAGUACAGUCAACUAAGAUUUACAUUUAGAUUACUUAGUGUGGAAACAGGCCCUUCGGCCCAACAAGUCCACACCGACCUGCGGAAGUGCAACCCACCCUGACCCAUUUCCCUACACUUACCCCUUCACCUAACAUGACAGGCAAUUUAGCAUGGCCAAUUCCCCAUACCUGCACUUUUUUGGGCUGUGGGAGGAAACCGGAGCACCCAAAGGAAACCCACACAGACACAGAAUGUGCAAACUCCGGUCAGUUGCCUGAGGAGGGUAUUGAGCCCAGGUCUCUGGCGCUGAGGCUGCAGUGCUAACCACUGUGCUUAUUUAAUGGAUUGCAGAUUAAUUUUCACCUGGAAGGUGUGUAGGGCCUUCAAUAGUGAGGAAGUAAAUGGGCAAAUACUAACCUUCUGUGAUUGCAUAGGAAGAUGCCAUGGGACUCAGGUGAUGCUGGGUGUGAAGGGGACCAAGAUGUCCCAGAAGGAAUUGUCAGCCUUCCACAGGGACAAGGAAGGAGAUGGGAAUUUAUCUGGUGGUAUUCUGCUGGAGGUGCCAGAAAUGGUGACUGGUGAUAGUUCGGCUGUGGAUUCUGGUGGGAUAAGUGAGAAUAAGGGUACUUAUUGUAAGAGGGUGAGAGCUGAGCUGCAGGAGAUGGGUCCGACACAGCUGAGGGCUAUAUCAACCAGUGAUCAGAGAACCCUCGGUGAAAGUAGAAAGUGGAUAUUUUGAGGCCUUUUUGAAGUUUGCAUCAUUGGAACAGAUGCAACAGAGAACCUGGGAGGAUUGUAUAGUCUUUAUAUCCCUAGAACCAUGUAUUACCAGGUAUACUCUACAUAAGAGUAGGUGGAGAAAGUGAGGUCUGCAGAUGCUGGAGAUCAGAGCUGAAUGUGUUGCUGGAAAAGUGCAGCAGGUCAGGCAGCAUCCAAGGAACAGGAAAUUCGACAUUUCAGGAAGGGCUUAUGCCCGAAACGUCAAAUUUCCUGUUCCUUGGGUGCUGCCUGACCUGCACUUUUCCAGCAACACAUUUUCAGAUGAGAGCAGGUGGAUCUAUACUGGAUAUUGGUGGCUACCCUAUCCUCUGAAAUGGAAACAGAUGCUGAGGAAGGGAAGGCAGGAGCUGGAUGGACUAGAGAAGAAAAGAGCAGGGUGGAAAUGGGAAGUGAAUUUGAAUUAUUCCAAUUCCAGAUAAGGGAAGCCCAAGUGUGGAUGGAGGCUAGAGUAGGACUGGAAUAAGGAAUGUUUCAUGUACCCUCACUAAGUGACCGGCAUAAUUGGGACCCAUGCAGGUAUGCAUGUGCACCUUUUUGACCUGGAGAAAGUGAGUUAGUGUUUUAAGUGAGAAUGAGCUUGGCCAGUCAAUUCAGACCAUUUUCCCUAGGAAGAAGCAGUGUGGCUCAAUGGUUAGCAUUGCUGCCUCAGUGCUAAGGAUACAGGUUCAAUUCCACUGUCAGGAGUUUGCAUAUUCUCCCACCUGGGUUUCCCUACAUGCUUGUUUCCUUCCACAGACUAAAGAUGUGCAACUUAGUUGGACUGACUGUCCUAAAUUUCCCAUAGUGCCCAGGAGUGUAGAUUAGGUGGAUUAGUGAGAAAUACAGGAUUGCAGGGAUUGAGUUUAGCUGGAUGGGUAAGAAUGGGAUCCUCUUCAGAGUUGGUGUGGACAUUAUGGGCUGAAUGGCCAGCUUCUGCACAUAUUCUCAUUCUAAGCCCUGAGCAUUUUGGUGGUCAGAUGGAAGAAUGGAUGUGUAAAGCAUUUACAUGUCCAUGGUGAAGUGGCAACAGCAGCAGCAUGCAACUGGAAAUUGUUUACAUGGUGUUUCAGAAUCAGAAAAAAGGUAGAAGGGACUGUCCAAGGAGUGGGGGAAAAAUUAAGCUGAGGUAGAAAGAGGAGUUCUGUGAGGCAGGAGCAGCCAGAAACAAUGGGUCUGCUCGGAGUCCUGUUCAUGGAUUUUGGGGAAGGGUGAAGUGAGCUGUGUAGGAUUGGGCACUUGUGCUGGGGGCAGUUGAAGUGGGAGAGAUCAUUCCGUGAAAUCAGAUCACAGACUAUGGACAAAAUGGCCUGGGUCAAUAGGUAUGAGCUAGCACUGAGCCUCUAAUGUAGAGGUUAGUAUAUCAGACAACAGCACUAUCCAUUGUCAACAGAUGUGAUUACAAAGUCAGGAUUGGAUCUGAGUAUGGAGUGCCAUCUGUUGGAGGUUGUAAUGGAUGAGAUGACUUCAGAUGUAUAAAAGGGGCUGGGGCAAGGUGAGUAGAAAGUAGCUGUUCCCUGAGUGGAAUAGUCAAUAACAAGGAAGCAUACUUUUUAAAGUGAAAGGCAGGUGGUUUAGAGGGGGUAUAAUGAAAACUCACUUGCAGUGCUUGGUGGGAAUCUGGAAUGUACUGAGUAGGUAGGAGAGGUAACCUCAAAUCUUUUAAAAUACUAUUUUGCUGCACACUUGAAAUGUCAGCUUUCAGGGCUGUGGGGCUGGUGUAAGUGGACAUCUGCAUGUACAGAUUGAAUGGGCUGACCAGCCUCUUUGCUGUGAUUCCAUGGUAUGGAACAAGUUAAAUUCUGUGCCAACACAAUGACCAUGAUCUAAUGUCAACCAUGAUUGAGAAACUGUCUUCUUUAAAUGUUGCUUACCUCUGCUCUUCAGUCAGUCUUUUGUCAAAGAAGCUGUUUCCCAUGCUCUUGUCACCAUUUCUGAGAGACCCUCCUUACUGACAUUCAAUAUUUCACCUUCCAAUUUAUCCAAACUGGAUAUUUGUCUCUCUUUCCAAUGGCGUUUUUGCUGCUGUCCAAAUGUUCUCAAGAAUUUAAUUUAAUCUUUCCAGUUUCUUGAUUUUCCCUCUAGUUUGAUUCAUUCACAUUGAGACUUUUGUAACUAUAGUACAACUGGAGCAGUAAUCAAAGGUCCCAGAGUCACAAGUUCAAAUGAAUUAAAGCUUAAAAUUUGAAGGAAGGCAAAUCAGUGAUGCAAGAAACAGAUGGUGAUGGACUGUAGUGUUAAAUGCUUGUAUGCUUGGGUGUGGUGUAAUGUGUAUAUAAAAUGUACUGUACUCUUAACAUGAGAAUAAAGUCUUUAAAAUUGGAACAA
This is a long non-coding RNA of Hemiscyllium ocellatum (epaulette shark), 5801 nucleotides long. RefSeq lists it as uncharacterized. Lineage: Eukaryota; Metazoa; Chordata; Chondrichthyes; Orectolobiformes; Hemiscylliidae. The transcript has 2 exons. The record is from RefSeq and is a predicted model, not a curated record.